CAGGAUGAGGGCGGCCAUUGCUGGGGCUCUGCUUCGGGGAGGAGGACGCUGAGGAGGCGCCGAGCCGCGCAGCGCUGCGGGGGAGGCGCCCGCGCCGACGCGGGGCCCAUGGCCAGGACCACCAGCCAGCUGUUCUACGGUCUGGGGACGAUGGUUUAAGAAUUUAUGCGUUGUAUGCGAUGUGCAGUGGGUGAUGGAAGAACGUCUACAUAGCUUGCAAAAUUUGAUUUAAAAGGCAAAUAUUUUAAAUGAAGGAAAACCCAAGAAGUUUACUUGAUUCCUUAUCUUCCAGGAUGCGACUUUUAUUUAUUUAUUUUGAUGGAGUCUCGCUCCCGUCGCGCAGGCUGGAGUGCAGUGACGUGAUCUCGACCCGGGAACCUCCACCUCCCGGGUUCAAGCGAUUCUCCUGCCACAGCCUCCCGAGUAGCUGGGAUUACAGGCGUGUGCCACCAUGCGUGGCUAAUUUUUGUAUUUUUAGUAGAGAAGGUGAAAGGUGUGGGCCCUCUUCUGAGAAAAAGGCAGAGUGACAUUGAAUUUUGUAACUAC
RNAcentral lists this small RNA (546 nucleotides) under Pongo abelii (Sumatran orangutan). Its description in RNAcentral is "processed transcript". The record is from RNAcentral. Lineage: Eukaryota; Metazoa; Chordata; Mammalia; Primates; Hominidae.